Molecule: ribosomal RNA, 468 nt
Filed under: uncultured bacterium
Lineage: Bacteria
Description: partial 16S ribosomal RNA
Rfam family: Bacterial small subunit ribosomal RNA
Source: RNAcentral
GACGAACGCUGGCGGCGUGCUUAACACAUGCAAGUCGAACGGAAAGGCCCUGCUUUUGUGCUGUGCUCGAGUGGCGAACGGGUGAGUAACACGUGAGUAACCUGCUCUUGUUUUUGGUGUAACUUCAGGAAACUGGGGUUAAUAUAGGAUAGGAGCCCCUGCUGCAUGGAGGGGGGUGGAAAGUUUCGGCGGUGGGGGAUGGAUUCGCGGCUAAUCAGUUUGUUGGUUGGGUAGUGGCUUACCAACGCCUUGACGGGUAGCCGGCCUGAGAGGGUGACCGGCCACAUUGGGACUACGAUACGGCCCAGACGCGUACGGUAGACAGCAGUGGGAAAUAUUGUACAAUCGGCGGAAGCCUGAUGCAGCAACGCCGCGUGCGGGAUGACGGCCUUCGGGUUAUAAACAGCUUUAGCCUGUGACGAAGCGUUAGUGACGGUAAUGAAUAAAGAAGCACCGGCUAACUACGUG